Long non-coding RNA from Aethalodelphis obliquidens (Pacific white-sided dolphin), 1560 nucleotides. RefSeq lists it as uncharacterized. The record is from RefSeq and is a predicted model, not a curated record. Lineage: Eukaryota; Metazoa; Chordata; Mammalia; Artiodactyla; Delphinidae. The transcript is spliced from 6 exons.
CUUUUAAUUGCCGAGUGUUGGCAAUUUAACAGACUGUAAUGAGUACACUGUCCCUCUUUUUUUUGCACACAGCCCGUUGAGCUCGGUGGAAACAGGAGUUUGUUUUGUGUACGGAGCCGAGAAGACUUAUUAAAAGCUGACGGAAGCGUUUGGAAUGAGUUUAUUUUGACUGGCGAGCAGCUGCAGCAACUCACCCUCCUUCUUUGAAAAUCUUCAGCUUCGAGGUUUCGAAGAGCCAGUGCAGCCGGUUUCCUGACAUCCAUUUGUACGGUCCCUUUAUACCUUCAAUAUUAGCCUGUUUCAGUUUCCUGCACAGUAAAAGCCAAAGACAGAUUCUUGCUAUUGAAUCCAACACUUCACAAAUCCAAAGCCAGAAUCUUUGGACUCUAGGGGGAAGCUGACCUUCCCUCAGACCCUCUUGCGCCAGCCCCUCCCUUGCUGGGCAGUGCACACUCAUCCCCAGAUGCAGAGAAGAAAGGAUUCUCCUCCAUCGUGCCCGAAUUCUUGAGUUGGCGCCAAGAAACAGCCAGCUGGAGCAGAGCCAGUUGUGAUAGAGUUUCACGCAUCGGCCAAGAACAGAUUCUGCCCAGGAACUCGCACUCACACAGCCCCGUCCAAGGAGAGUGAACACAGAGCGAGCCCUCACAAGGUGUAGGAAGCAAGAGGGUGGCACUCGGGGGCCCCAGGAAGCCCUGUCAUCACCCCAACCCGAGGCUGCCAGCAAGCCCGUGCCAGAGGAAGUGGGCUGUGCUGCCAGAGGCUGUGCUGAGAAGGAGUCUGACUGUGCUCCUCUGGGUCACAUGUGAGUGCACAUCCCUAAGCCAGAAGCUCCACUGAGUAACUGAGCAGGCUCUGGCCCCCUCAGUGCUUAUCACCUGGAGCUGGGCUCUCGGCUGGUUUCAUGGGACGGAGCCCCGUGUUUAAGCUCCCGUCUGGGGAUCGGACGCUCCACCUCCUUCUGGCUGAGGCACCAUGGGACACCUGCCCCCGACUCCGGUUCCUUCCUGGCUUCUCUUGUCGCCUCUCCGGCCUCUGAAUCCUAGUCCCUGUGCCUCAUAGCCCCUACACCACUGCUGCCAAGGCCCUUGGUCACAUUUCUCCCCACUUGUCACAGCCCUACCUCGUGCCUCUUGCUGGCGCUCCAUGACCCUGGUCACGUGACCUCGGAAAUGUCACUCCCCUCUGUCACCCCCAUCUCCUGGUUUCAUACUCUGCCCGCUUCAUCUCCUGCUGUUCCCUUCAUCUGUCAUUCUCCCUGCCCCCACCCCUCCCCUUACUCUAGCUCUAAUGGGAGCAUCCGAUGAUAGGAAUCAUAAGUGGAAAGCACACACUUAGAGGAUUUCAUGUAUAAAUGACACUGUUUUCCUUACUUACUAUCACUGCCACGCAAUUAGUUGCCCUUUAACCAGUGAGUUCUCCCAAAACAAUGUCUUUAAAAUAAAAAUGCCCUUUAAAUGUUUUCAUCUCUAUAAGAUUUCUGUUCCGUGGUAAUAAUGGUGGCUGCUGCUUCUUUUAUACACCUAAAGAGCUAGAGAAUGUGCAUUUACAGGAAUUCUCAGC